Molecule: transfer RNA, 56 nt
Filed under: Bombus lapidarius
Lineage: Eukaryota; Metazoa; Arthropoda; Insecta; Hymenoptera; Apidae
Description: tRNA-Glu
Source: RNAcentral
AUUUAUAGAGUUUUAAAUAAAAUAUUAUACUUUCAAUAUAAAGUUAUUAAUAAAUA